This is a non-coding RNA of Pelobates cultripes (western spadefoot toad), 323 nucleotides long. NCBI's taxonomy places the organism in Eukaryota, Metazoa, Chordata, Amphibia, Anura, Pelobatidae. The record is from the annotation of a GenBank genome assembly.
CUCCAACAAACCUAAUACAUUCAAAAGUCUUCUUUCUUCUAAAAUCUUCUUUUCUUAAUUUUUAUCAUAUUUUGUACAUCCGGACAAGUUCCGGUUUCAAAUAAAUAUGUCACUAUCUGUGAGCUAUUCUACUAUGCUGCAGUUCUACUUUCAAAAUUGCUAAAUUUAGGGAAAUGCAAUUUGUUAAAUAAUCAUUUUGUGCCCUUUUUACAGGUACUCUAGUCCACUUUAAGCUCUAGAAUGUAAGCUUGCUUGAGCAUGGCCCUCAACGCCCUCUGUUCCUGUGCGUUCAACUUGUCUUGUUGCAAAUACAUGUCUGUUCG